AAGACGUCUGCUUAGUCCGAGAUUCACAGUGUGAGAUGCCUUACGUUAGAUCAUUCAAUUUUCUUCUUUUUUUUACAAAACAAAAUGGGUAACGCUAAGAGACGGAGUGGUCCAAGACAGGUAGACCUGAAGGUCUUGACCCCACAGAUUUCAAACGAAGAUUUUGCAGUAAAUGAAGGUUGAGUUAAGGAAGAUGAGACAGAAAUCGGCAUCAUGUUGUUGAGUGAUUCAUAGCAACCCAAAAUCUAUAACAGGAUUCCCAUUCAGGGAACCUAAGUACCAAUGCUGAUGUAAAAAUUUAGAGAAAAAUGUACAAGAGUUGCUUUUAUUUUUGCAUUUCAGUGGUAUUAUAGAAAGAAAGAAGUAUGGGGAAAAUCUAAUUAGGCUAAUCAUUCUUCUGCAUUAGUCUGAUUUUCCUGAGCUGGUGAUGGAGCCAAUAGAUUUGUUUCUCUUAUGCUCCAGUGGAUCACUUUGAGUUUGUUCCACAGUUGCUCUACACCAGUAUCAAAAAUGACGCAAAACAAAAUUGUCAAAGCGUAGAUGCCUGCUGAGAGGAAGAAAACUGUUUUCCAUUGAUCAAUGGAGUCCUUGGUGGUCUAGAAGUGGUUGUAACGAUUCUGUUACUGUCAGAUUGGCAACAUAGGAUGCCAGAAAUCCACAGAUGCUGGCAACGCAAUUUGUGACACCAAUCAUAGUACGGGAGUUGCAUCCGGUUACCAUCAGGCUGCAAAUACACAGCCCCGUACCUCAGGGUGAUCGUACCGAACCAAGUACGUUUACAAUGUCGAUGAUGACGACGAAGUUUCGUUCCGCGAUGGCGAUGUUAUCGUCGAUUGCAAACCGAUCGAUGAGGGAUGGAUGAUGGGCAAAGUCCUGAGGACAGGCCGAUCCGGAAUGGCACCGACAAACUACGUCGAACCUAUCAACUAUUGUUUCGCUCUUUUUUGCUCUUAACCCUGAUCCUUUGGUUCUCUGUCUCAAGUUGUUCCGCCCCCUUUCUUUAGCCGUUAGCAAUUUCUGUUGUUGUUCAGUAGUAAGGACAUUACCUCAGGUAGCCGGCCUAAAUCCAAAUCCGGAUCAUGCGGUGUAAUGUGUGAAAUGGCUGCCAUGAUUUCAAUACCAUCCAACAGGUUGUUGUUAUAGUAAUCGUGAAACCUUCAAACAAGACUACUAGUCACGCGGGAGAAAAUCAUGUGAUUGUGACUUAUUUUUAAAAGACCAUUUUCAAUGAGUUAUCAUUACUUGCGUAAAAAAAAGAUCCCCUUACGUGAAAUAGUGGACUUCAAUUUCAUCCGACGUCAUUUUGAAAAUUUCGUCUUCGGUGUACAUUUCUUUCAAAUCUUCUUUAAAGUGCCUGUAAUAGGAAAAAAGAAAAAUAUUCAAAUUUA
Molecule: long non-coding RNA, 1388 nt
Organism: Daphnia carinata
Lineage: Eukaryota; Metazoa; Arthropoda; Branchiopoda; Diplostraca; Daphniidae
Exons: 4
Source: RefSeq, a predicted model, not a curated record